ACCUAGCUGGCUCAGUUGGAAGAGCGUACGACUCUUGAUCUCAGGGUCAUGAGUUGGAGUCCCAUGUUAUGUG
This 73-nucleotide transfer RNA is filed under the name Felis catus (domestic cat). It matches the Rfam family "tRNA". Rfam says of the family: Transfer RNA (tRNA) molecules are approximately 80 nucleotides in length. Their secondary structure includes four short double-helical elements and three loops (D, anti-codon, and T loops). Lineage: Eukaryota; Metazoa; Chordata; Mammalia; Carnivora; Felidae. The record is from Rfam by way of RNAcentral.